RNAcentral lists this ribosomal RNA (440 nucleotides) under uncultured bacterium. Its description in RNAcentral is "partial 16S ribosomal RNA". It matches the Rfam family "Bacterial small subunit ribosomal RNA", at positions 338 to 795 of the family's 1533-position model. The record is from RNAcentral.
CCUACGGGCGGCAGCAGUGGGGAAUAUUGCACAAUGGGGGCAACCCUGAUGCAGCGAUGCCGCGUGAGUGAAGAAGUCUCUCGGUAUGUAAAGCUCUAUCAGCAGGGAAGAAAAUGACGGUACCGGAUUAAGAAGCCCCGGCUAACUACGUGCCAGCAGCAGCGGUAAUACGGAGGGGGCAAGCGUUAUCCGGAUUUACUGGGUGUAAAGGGAGCGUAGACGGCAGCACAAGUCUGGAGUGAAAUGCCGGGGCUUAACCCCGGAACUGCUUUGGAAACUGUUCAGCUAGAGUGCAGUAGAGGGAGGUGGAAUUCCUGGUGUAGCGGUGAAAUGCGUAGCGAUUAGGAGGAACACCGGUGGCGAAGGCGGCUUACUGGACUAUAACUGACGUUGAGGCUCGAAAGCGUGGGGAGCAAACAGGAUUAGAUACCCGAGUAGUC